RNAcentral lists this ribosomal RNA (254 nucleotides) under uncultured bacterium. Its description in RNAcentral is "partial 16S ribosomal RNA". It matches the Rfam family "Bacterial small subunit ribosomal RNA", at positions 524 to 776 of the family's 1533-position model. The record is from RNAcentral.
UACGAGUGCUUCGAGCGUUAUCCGGAAUCAUUGGGCGUAAAGGGUGUGUAGGCGGUUAUGUUAGUCUUUCGUUAAAUCUUUCGGCUCAACCGAGAGUCUGCGUAGGAAACGGCAUGACUAAGAGGAUGGAAGGGGUCUGCGGAACUCAUGGUGUAGCGGUGAAAUGCGUUGAUAUCAUGGGGAACACCGAAAGCGAAGGCAGCAGACUGGUCCACUCCUGACGCUGAAACACGAAAGCGUGGGUCGCGAAUGGG